RNAcentral lists this ribosomal RNA (245 nucleotides) under uncultured bacterium. RNAcentral describes it as "partial small subunit ribosomal RNA". It matches the Rfam family "Bacterial small subunit ribosomal RNA", at positions 26 to 285 of the family's 1533-position model. The record is from RNAcentral.
AGAAUCAACGCUGGCGGCGUGCCUAACACAUGCAAGUCGAACGAGAAAGUGGAGCAAUCCAUGAGUAAAGUGGCGCACGGGUGAGUAACACGUGACUAACCUACCCUUGAGUGGGGGAUAACCUAGAGAAAUCUGGGCUAAUACCGCAUAAUACCUUCGGGUCAAAGGGGCAAUUCGCUUAAGGAGGGGGUCGCGGCCGAUUAGUUAGUUGGCGGGGUAAUGGCCCACCAAGACUAUGAUCGGUA